This 254-nucleotide ribosomal RNA is filed under the name uncultured prokaryote. Its description in RNAcentral is "partial 16S ribosomal RNA". It matches the Rfam family "Bacterial small subunit ribosomal RNA", at positions 525 to 777 of the family's 1533-position model. The record is from RNAcentral.
ACGGAGGAUGCAAGCGUUAUCCGGAAUUAUUGGGCGUAAAGCGUCCGUAGGUGGCGGUUCAAGUCUGCUGUCAAAAACAGUGGCUCAACCACUGAGCGGCGGUGGAAACUGAACAGCUAGAGUGUGGUAGGGGCAGAGGGAAUUCCCAGUGUAGCGGUGAAAUGCGUAGAGAUUGGGAAGAACACCGGUGGCGAAAGCGCUCUGCUGGACCACAACUGACACUCACAGGACGAAAGCUAGGGGAGCGAAUGGGA